This 229-nucleotide ribosomal RNA is filed under the name uncultured bacterium. RNAcentral describes it as "partial 16S ribosomal RNA". It matches the Rfam family "Bacterial small subunit ribosomal RNA", at positions 568 to 796 of the family's 1533-position model. The record is from RNAcentral.
UCCGUAGGUGGAUCAAUCAGUAAGAGGUGAAAUCCUGCAGCUUAACUGUAGAACUGCCUUUGAUACUGUUGAUCUUGAGUCAUUAUGAAGUGGUUAGAAUGUGUAGUGUAGCGGUGAAAUGCAUAGAUAUUACACAGAAUACCGAUUGCGAAGGCAGAUCACUAAUAAUGUACUGACACUGAGGGACGAAAGCGUGGGGAGCGAACAGGAUUAGAUACCCUGGUAGUCC